GCUACAUGCAGUCGAGGGGCAGCACAAGUGUAGCAAUACUCUGGUGGCGACCGGCGCACGGGCGAUUAUCGCGUAUGCAACCUACCUUCCACAGGGGGAUAGCCUUCCGAUAGGGAGAUUAAUACCGCAUGAAACAGGGGCCCCGCAUGGGGAUAUUUGUUAAAGAUUUAUCGGUGGAAGAUGGGCAUGCGUUCCAUUAGCUAGUUGGGGGGGUAACGGCCCACCAAGGCAACGAUGGAUAGGGGAACUGAGAGGUUUAUCCCCCACACUGGGACUGAGACACGGACCAGACUCCUACGGGAGGCAGCAGUAAGGAAUAUUGGUCAAUGGGCGGAAGCCUGAACCAGCCAUGCCGCGUGCAGGAUGACUGCCCUAUGGGUUGUAAACUGCUUUUGUCCAGGAAUAAACCUAAAUACGUGUAUUAGCUGAAUGUACUGGAAGAAUAAGGAUCGGCUAACUCCGUGCCAGCAGCCGCGGUAAUACGGAGGAUCCGAGCGUUAUCCGGAUUUAUUGGGUUUAAAGGGUGCGUAGGCGGCCUAUUAAGUCAGGGGUGAAAUACGGUGGCUCAACCAUCGCAGUGCCUUUGAUACUGAUGGGCUUGAAUCCAUUUGAAGUGGGCGGAAUAAGACAAGUAGCGGUGAAAUGCAUAGAUAUGUCUUAGAACUCCGAUUGCGAAGGCAGCUCACUAAGCUGGUAUUGACGCUGAUGCACGAAAGCGUGGGGAUCGAACAGGAUUAGAUACCCUGGUAGUCCACGCCCUAAACGAUGAUAACUCGAUGUUGGCGAUAGACAGCCAGCGUCCCAGCGAAAGCGGUAAGUUAUCCACCUGGGGAGUACGCCCGCAAGGGUGAAA
This 853-nucleotide ribosomal RNA is filed under the name uncultured bacterium. Its description in RNAcentral is "bacterial SSU rRNA". It matches the Rfam family "Bacterial small subunit ribosomal RNA", at positions 50 to 899 of the family's 1533-position model. The record is from RNAcentral.